UUCAAAUUCUUCGUUAAGAAAGGUCAGAUGAUGCAGAUUUCAAAGCUGUAUAAAUUCUCUGACUCCUCAAACUUGUCCCUAAAAUCAACAGCCAUGGGCUCCUCUAAGCAACUCCGUUGCAUUCUGAAUAAUAAAAUAAUUGAUGCUCACUGUUCUGGCCCUACCAGCAGUUCUUAUGUUAAAGUAUGCAGAGACUUUUAUUUUGCCUAUUGUUUACACCCCACAUUGUAGCUGCAGGAAAUCUGUAGAGAGGAGAAGAAGAAAAAGUUAGACAGCAUGGUUAUAAGCAGCAUGGAAGUUUGUUGUUGUGCUCCUCCUUCUGUGUAGCUGUUCAAAGGCAUUCUCUUUUCACAAUUUUCCAUAUAAAGAGUCAACUUCACCCUCGGUGUCCCGGACUUAUUGUGUGGAGUUGUUUAGCUUGCUGGAUAGCUGAAUUAGGACAUUCUGUGAAGCCAGUACAGUGAAAAGAGAGACUUGUGAAGAGCUACUGAUGACCAAACUGCAGUAUUGUGCCGGCAGCCCGAACCAGUACGACAACUGCAACGUCGCUAGGAAGGAUUGAGGUAAAACACAUCCAUAGUAGCCAUGGACAGAGCAAAUGCAUCAGUCAGAUCAUCAGAUUCCCAUAUGAGUAGUGCUUCAUGUAAAGUUGCAUUGGCAGCAGCCACAGCACGUGCCAGAGCCCAAGCUGCGCAUGCAAGAGCUGCUUAUUCACGUAAAGAGAUUGAAUUAAAGAUGGAAAAAGCCCGUCUUGAUGCAACACUCAUCGCCUUAGAAAGGGAGAGAGAGGCAGAAGCCGCCAUGGCUGAAGCAGCAGUAAUGGAGGCUGCAGCCGUAGACUUUGAAGAUGAGUGCCGCAGUCGUGGACCAGAGUUACUGCCCAGGCAAAGUGCAGAACGGCGUACUGAGGAAUAUGUAGAAAGACACAGCCAUCUCAGUGGCAGCUCACAUUCACUCGAAGAUUUACACUCAUGUGAGGAGCAAAUACCCCUCAAUCCCAGUGCUUAUGUAUCUGUAUGUGGAGAUAAGGAAGGUGAACUCCCAACUCCUGAUCACCAUCAGCAAUGUGACCAUUUCGCAGAUGGUAACCCCCAUGUGGGCGAUGUUCGUGCGAAUACACAAGUGUGUACUGAGCCGAUGAGUACCCAGCUGCAUGCAGGCUUACCUGCUCACACACCCCGGCGUGCUGAACAAAGCGCGCUCAGGUCAGGCUUACCUGCUCACACAUCCAGGCACGCUGACCACAGUCCACUCAGGUCAGGCUUACCUGCUUACACCUCCAGGCGUGCUGACCACAGCGCACUCAGGUCAGGCUUACCUGCUCACACAUCCAGGAACGCUGACCACGGUCCACUCAGGUCAGGCUUACCUGCUCACACGUCCGGGCAUGCUCACCACAGCCCACUCAGGUCGGGUUUACCUGCUCACACAUCCAGACACGCUGACUACAGCCAUUUCAGGCCAGGCAUACCAGUUUAUACACACAGGCACAACGACCACAGCCCCACCACAUCUAGGGCUGCACACUGCCCCAGCGACACAGCCACAUCUGACUUAGCGAGGUACCUAGCACGAAGUCAGCUAGUGUCAUCAGGACUAACCAGGUUUGAUGAUAAGCCAGGAAAUUACUUAUCCUGGAAGAGCUCAUUCCUGAACACCAUUGACAGCCUAGAUCUUACAGCAGGAGAAGAGAUGGAUUUAUUAAUAAGAUGGCUAGGCCCAGAAUCUGCAGCACAUGCAAGGCGUAUUAGAUCAGUGAAUGUGAGAGAUCAAGCAGCAGGCUUAUGGCUUGUGUGGGAGAGACUGGAGGAGAUGUAUGGCUCACCUGAAGCUAUAGAGGGCGCUCUCUUCACUAAACUCGAUCAAUUCCCCAAAAUAUCAAACAAGGAGCAUCAUAAACUUAGGGAGCUGUCUGAUUUGCUGUUAGAGAUUCAUUCUGCAAAACGUGAAGGAUACUUACCUGGCCUAUCCUAUCUCAACACAGCAAGGGGCAUAAACCCAAUAGUGGAGAAACUGCCAUACACGCUCCAGGACAAGUGGGUAAUGGAAGGCUCCCGAUACAAACAAGAAUUCAGGGUCCCUUAUCCUCCAUUUGAAUUCUUUUUACAGUUUGUACACAGGCAAGCAAAGGCACGCAAUGACCCAAGCUUUAGUCUUCCUCUCUUAAGUACAGCAGUCAGGAAAGAUAAGUUCAGUGAAAGCAGCCGAAGGACAGUUUCUGUGCAUAAAACUGAUGUUGCACACUCCGACUCCGCAUCCACUGCCGAAGACCCAGAGAAGCAAUGUCCUAUGCAUCAAAAACCACACUCCCUGCAAGUGUGCCGCGGCUUCAGGGAAAAGCUAAUGGAUGAACGAAAGAGAAUACUAAAGGAGAAUAACAUAUGUUUUAAAUGCUGCGCGUCAAAUAAGCAUGUAGCCCGAGACUGUGAGGCAGCCAUCAAAUGUGCUGAGUGUGACAGCCAUAGACACCCAACAGCGCUGCACCCAGGCCCAGCUCCGUGGGUCUCCAAGACCUCUCCACCCCCAUCAGGGAAUGGCGGGGAGAGUGAUGAAGCAUUAGAAACUGCUGUGGUUUCCAAAUGCACGGAGGUAUGUGGGGAAGGCUUCAAUGGCAAAUCGGGCUCCAAGAUAUGUCUUGUGACGGUCUACCCGGCAGACUGCCGCAACCAGGGCAAAAGGAUGUACGCCAUGCUGGAUGACCAAAGCAAUAGGUCGCUGGCACGCUCAGAGUUUUUUGAUAUCUUCCAUGUAGGCGGGCCCACAUACUCUUACACUCUAAAAACCUGCUCUGGUGUUGGUGACGCGUCCGGCCACCGAGCUACAGGCUUCGUCAUCGAACCUGCAGAUGGUGACAUCAGCCUAACUCUGCCCACACUCCUGGAGUGUAACAUGAUUCCCAACAACAGAGACGAAAUCCCCACUCAAGCCGCCGCGCACAGCCACCCUCACCUCAGAGCUAUAGCCAAUGAAAUACCAGAAGUGGACAUGAAUGCUGAGAUCCUGCUGCUUCUGGGCAGGGACAUGCUGAGAGCGCACAAGGUGCGUAAACAGAUCAACGGACCACAUGACACACCCUACGCACAGAGGCUGGACUUAGGAUGGGUCAUAGUUGGCGAUGUGUGCCUGGGCAGCACACAUCGGCCUCCCGAAGUCACCAGCAUGAAAACAUACAUCCUUGAAAAUGGCAGGCCAAGCCACUUUCCCCCAUGUGAGAACCACUUGAAGGUAAAGGAGAAAAUCUGUUCCCCUAAUCAGCCCCAGCCUGUCAGCCGUGUGACAUACAGUGACAACCUGGGCCUAUCGGUUUUCCAGCAAACCAAGGAUGAUCACAAGCUUGCGUCAUCAAUGGAAGAUCUCCUAUUCCUUGAAACAAUGGAAAAUGAAUUCUUCCAGGAUUCGGCUAACAGUUGGGUGGCCCCGCUACCGUUCCGCCAACCCAGGAUGUGUCUGCCUAAUAACCGCCAAUAUGCCAUGGGUCGGCUGAAGUCUCUGCACCGAACACUCAACAAAAAUCCAGAGAUGAAAUCUCAUUUUAUGGACUUUAUGCAAAAAAUGCUGGACAGCCACCACGCAGAGCUUGCUCCUCCCAUGCAAGAUGGGAAGGAGUAUUGGUACCUGCCCUUUUUUGGUGUCUACCACCCACAAAAACCCUCACAGAUCCGUGUGGUGUUUGAUUCGAGUGCACAGUUUGAAGGCAAGUCACUCAACAACGUGCUGCUCUCUGGGCCGAACAUGAACAAUAGCCUGCUAGGGGUUCUUAUAAGGUUCAGGAAGAACUCAGUUGCAUUCACAGCUGACAUACAACAAAUGUUUCAUUGUUUUCUCGUCCGAGAAGACUGCAGGGAUGUUCUACGCUUUCUCUGGCACAGAGAUAAUGACCUGAGUAAAGAGGUGGUGGACUACAGAAUGAGGGUGCAUGUCUUUGGAAACAGUCCCUCUCCUGCUGUGGCCAUCUACGGAUUACGAAGAGCUGCCCGCCAGGGAGAAGAACUGUAUGGCAGUGAUGUGCGGUACCUCACUGAUCGAGAUUUCUAUGUGGAUGAUGUCCUCAAGUCCGUCUCCACCGUGGAGCAAGCAGUCGAUCUACUCAAAAGAACACAGAAGAUGCUGGCAGCCUCCAACCUCCGGCUCCACAAGGUAGCCUCCAACAAAGCCGAUGUGAUGGAUGCAUUUCCAGUUGAAGAUCGCGCCAAAGACAUCCAGGAUCUUGACCUGUUUGUAGAUGACUUACCAGAUCAGCGAAGCCUCGGGGUGAAAUGGAGCCUCAUGUUAGACCACCUUACCUUUCAUGUUCCUCAGGACGAAAGCCCUUACACACGCAGGGGUGUACUUUCAAUGGUGAACAGCCUCUUCGACCCAUUGGGGUUCUUGGCACCAGUGACUAUCCAGGGUCGGCUAUUGUUAAGAGAGCUGUCAGCACAGGCCUCGGACUGGGACUCACCCCUCCCUGAGGAAAUGCGUGAGAAAUGGACAGAGUGGCGAAGCUCACUGAGCCAUCUCAGCAGCAUUCAUGUGCCCCGCACAUACUUUUCCAUUCCCCCCUCUGAGAUACAAAGCAUUGAACUAUGUGUCUUUUCUGAUGCAUCUGUCAAAGCCAUAUCUGCUGUUGCCUACCUGAGAGUCACUAGCACCAAAGGGACAGUAGAACUGGGAUUCGUCAUGGGUAAAGCGCGGCUCGCCCCUCAGCCCGAACUCACAAUCCCCAGGCUUGAACUGUGCGCAGCGGUCAUGGCUGUUGAAAUCGCAGAGGUAAUAAGUGAAGAAAUAGACCUCCCACUCAACUCCGUCAUCUUUUACACAGACAGCAAGGUUGUCCUGGGCUACAUAUUCAACCAGUCAAGGCGCUUCUAUGUAUACGUAAACAACAGAGUUCAGCGUAUAAGACAAUCUACCAUGCCUGAACAAUGGCAUUAUGUGCCAACGGAUCGGAAUCCUGCAGACCAUGGCUCACGCUCUGUUCCAGCCUCAAGACUCGGCAACACCUCAUGGCUCACAGGCCCCUCGUUUCUCCUCAACUCUAAGCUUCCACCUGAGCAGCACACAGAGUUUGACCUUAUCAACCCCGAUAAGGACGUAGAAAUCCGCCCUGAAGUCAAAACCCUAUCCACACACGUCACUGAGAGCUUCCUUGACUCCAAACGCUGGGAGCGCUUCUCCACAUGGAGAUCACUGAUCCAUGCUGUGGCCAAACUCAGACACAUAGCCCUGUGUUUCGCUCACUCACAGAAUGAUGGAGACUGUGCUGGGUGGCACAUCUGUAAGAAGGCCAUCUCCAGUGGUACUCUCGAAGAGGCAGAGAACCUUGUCAUCUGGAGUGUGCAGCAUGAAGUCUAUGGAGAGGAGUUCCGUUGCAUCACUGCGAAAUGUGACCUCUCCAAGCAAAGCCCACUCAUCAAGUUGAAUCCCACCAUCGACAGCAGUGGCCUACUGAGAGUAGGUGGUCGUAUCAGUCAGUCAGGCCUUGAAGUAAAGGAAACAAACCCCAUCAUCUUACCUGGCAGUCAUCACAUCACCACUCUUAUUGUACGACACCAUCAUGAGAGAGUGCAGCACCAGGGCAGGCACUUUACAGAGGGUGCUGUCAGAGAGAGCGGCCUGUGGAUAAUGGGAGCAAAGAGGUGUAUUGGGAAGAUAUUAAACAAAUGUGUGAUUUGCAGACGACUCAGAGGCAAGAUUGAGGUGCAGCAAAUGAGUGAACUACCUGCAGAUCGUCUUCAGCCAGGCCCCCCUUUCUCACAUGUGGGCAUGGACAUGUUCGGGCCAUGGGAAGUGUCCGCAAGGAGAACACGCGGGGGUCAGGCUAAUAGUAAGAGAUGGGCAAUCCUGUUCACCUGUUUAUGCACAAGGGCUGUCCACAUCGAAGUGGUUGAAGAGAUGAGCGCUUCUAGUUUCAUCAAUGCUCUGAGGCGUUUCUUUGCGCUGCGCGGCCCAGCCAAACAGUUGCGCUCAGACUGUGGGACCAACUUUGUUGGUGCAUGCCGAGAAAUGGGCACCAGCAUUGUAGAGCAGAGUGAAGUCCAGAAUUAUCUGCAAGAAGAAAAAUGUUCUUGGAUUUUUAACCCACCCCAUUCAUCCCACAUGGGUGGAGUGUGGGAAUGCAUGAUCGGCGUUGCACGACGCAUACUGGACAGUGUGCUGCUGCGUGCUGGACAAGCACAUCUUACGCAUGAAUCACUCACCACUUUCCUUGCCGAGGUCACAGCCAUAAUUAACGCUCGUCCUUUGAUACCAGUCUCAUCUGACCCUGAGCAUCCCCACAUUCUGUCACCCUCCAUCCUGUUGACCCAGAAAUCAGGUACAUCAGUUCCACCUUUGGGAAGCUGCAGUCCAAGGGAGAUCUUAAAGAAUCAGUGGAAACGUGUACAGCUGCUGGCUGACGAGUUCUGGAAUAGGUGGCGCAAGGAGUAUCUUGGCACUCUGCAGUCACGGCACAAGUGGCAACACAAGAGACUAGAUCUCAAGCCAGGAGACGUUGUUCUUCUCAAGGAGAAACAGGUCAGGAGGAAUGAGUGGCCUAUGGGGGUUGUCGUUAAGACAGUCCCAAGCCAGGAUGGACUAAUAAGGAAGGCUGAAGUCAAGAUUGUUCAGCAAGGAACAACAAAGAACUAUUAUAGACCUAUUUCAGAACUAGUGUUCCUUCUAUCCCCAGAGUAAGGUAUCAUUCUAAUGUGUUAUGGUAUCUCUAAGAUACCAGACGGGGAGUGUUCUGGCCCUACCAGCAGUUCUUAUGUUAAAGUAUGCAGAGACUUUUAUUUUGCCUAUUGUUUACACCCCACAUUGUAGCUGCAGGAAAUCUGUAGAGAGGAGAAGAAGAAAAAGUUAGACAGCAUGGUUAUAAGCAGCAUGGAAGUUUGUUGUUGUGCUCCUCCUUCUGUGUAGCUGUUCAAAGGCAUUCUCUUUUCACAAUUUUCCAUAUAAAGAGUCAACUUCACCCUUGGUGUCCCGGACUUAUUGUGUGGAGUUGUUUAGCUUGCUGGAUAGCUGAAUUAGGACAUUCUGUGAAGCCAGUACACUCACAAAGCAAGAGAAGGCUACAAAAAUGUAGCAAAGUGUUUUCAAGUAGCUGUUUCCUAAGAUCAUAAUGUUAUUAAGAAAUGGCAGUUAAUAGAAACAGUGGAGAUCAAGGUGAGGUCUGGAAGAUGAAGAAACCUUUCUGAAAGAACUGCUCGUUGGAUUGCUAGAAAGGCAAAUAAAAAAACCUGUUUGACUGUAAAUGACCUUCAGAAAGAUUUAGCAGACCCUGGAGUGGUGGUGCACUGUUCUACUAUGCAGCAACACCUGAACAAAUAUGACCUUCAUGAGAGAGUCAUCAGAAGAAAACCUUUCCUGUGUCCUAGCCACAAAAUUCAGUCUGAAGUAUGCAAAUGAACAUCUAAAUAAGCCUGAUGCAUUUUGGAAACAAGUCAUGUGGACUGAUGAAAUCAAAAUAGAACUUUUUGGCCACAAUGUGCAAAGGUAUGUUUGGAGGAAAAAGGGUGCGAAAUUCCAGGAAAAGAACACCUCUCCAACUCUGAAGCAUGGGUGUGGAUCGAUCAUGCUUUGGGGUUGUGUUGCAGCCAGUGGCACAGGGCACAUUUCAUUGGUCAAGGGAAGCAUGGAUUCGAAUAAAUACCAGCAAAUUCUGGAAGCAAACAUCACACCAUCUAUAAAAAGUUGAAGUUAAAAAGAGGAUGCGUCUUACAAUAAGACAAUGAUCCAAAACACACGUCAAAAUCUACAAUGGGAUACCUCAAGAGGCACAAGCUGAAGGUUUUGCCAUGGCCCUCAAAGUCCCCUGACCUAAACAUCAUUGAAAAUCUGUGGAUAGAUCUCAAAAGAGUAGUGCAUGCAAGACAACCCAAGAAACUUGUAGAACUGGAAGCCUUUUGCAAGGACAAAUAUGUGAAAAUCCCCCAGGUAAGAACUGAAAGAUUAUUAGCUGGCUACAAAAAGUGUUUACAAGCUAUGAUACUUGCCAAAGGGGGUGUUACUAGGUAUUAACCAUGCAGGGUGCCCAAACUUUUGCUUCAGGCCCUUUUCCUUUUUUUAUCAUUCUGAAAAUAUAAAAGAUGAAAAUAUAUAUAUUUUUUUGUUUAGAAUAUAAAGGGAAUGAGUCAUCUUUAACUUUAUACCUUUUGGAGUUCAUUUCAUCUUCAACUUGCUUAAAUGUUCACAGGAACAGCAAUUUUGAAGAGGGGUGCCCAAACUUUUGCAUACCACUGUAAAAUUAGAAAAUGGUGUCAAACAAAAUUGAUAGUAUUCCAAUUAGCAUGGAAUGAGAGCCACUGGAACUCCAGAGACAAGCUUCUAAUGCUGCUUGUUCAAUGUUUCUUUCCACCAUAAUAGAAGAUAAUAAAAAUAAUUUUAAAUUUUUAUGGAAUACUUUAGCAAAAUUAACUAGGAAUAAGACCACCACAGAAACAUGCAAACCUUCAAUAUGUCGUAGCAAUGGCUUAAUGAAGUUUUUUCAAUGGCAAAAUUGAAAAUAUUAGGCAAAAAUAUCAAACUACUAAUUUGAAACUAGACAAUUUGAUAAGUAUCCCUGGAGAGAACACUAUGAGCAAUGAUUUGUGUUUUACACUCCUUAAAGAGACCGAACUAAUUUCACUUCUCUCAUCUCAUCUCAUUAUCUCUAGCCGCUUUAUCCUGUCCUACAGGGUCGCAGGCAAGCUGGAGCCUAUCCCAGCUGACUAUGGGCGAAAGGCGGGGUACACCCUGGACAAGUCGCCAGGUCAUCACAGGGCUGACACAGACAACCAUUCACACCUACAGUCAAUUUAGAGUCACCAGUUAACCUAACCUGCAUGUCUUUGGACUGUGGGGGAAACCGGAGCACCCGGAGGAAACCCACGCGGACACAGGGAGAACAUGCAAACUCCACACAGAAAGGCCCUCGCCAGCCACGGGGCUCGAACCCGGACCUUCUUGCUGUGAGGCGACAGCGCUAACCACUACACCACCGUGCCGCCCCUAAUUUCACUUAUUCAAUCAAAAUCUUCAACUUGUGUACUUGCCUAUACAAUUUUUUUCACCCCUUACCUAUAUGAUUCUUUAAACAGAUAACACCAGAAGCAAUCAAACCUCUUUGAAAAACAAUCAGUUAUUCUUUUAGCAAUGGCUAUGUCCCUAAAUCCUUUUACCUAGCAGUUGUCAGACCCUUGAUUAAAGAACCUAACCUCAACCCUUGUCAGCUGUCUCAUUAUAGGCCAAUAUCAAACCUCCCUUUUAUCUCCAAAAUCCUAGAAAAAAC
Neoarius graeffei (lesser salmon catfish) is the source of this 9229-nucleotide RNA transcript. RefSeq lists it as uncharacterized. The transcript is spliced from 3 exons. Lineage: Eukaryota; Metazoa; Chordata; Actinopteri; Siluriformes; Ariidae. The record is from RefSeq and is a predicted model, not a curated record.